This 219-nucleotide unclassified non-coding RNA is filed under the name Glomus sp. RNAcentral's name for it is "partial contains 5.8S ribosomal RNA and internal transcribed spacer 2". The stretch from base 1 to 72 matches the Rfam family "5.8S ribosomal RNA", at positions 84 to 154 of the family's 154-position model. Lineage: Eukaryota; Fungi; Glomeromycota; Glomeromycetes; Glomerales; Glomeraceae. The record is from RNAcentral.
GUGAAUCAUCGAAUCUUUGAACGCAAAUUGCACUCUCCGGUUUUCCGGGAGAGUAUGCCUGUUUGAGGGUCAGCCUAAAUAAAAUCGGCUCAGUAGUUUGCUGUGUUUUUCACGGUAACGUUGGUCGGAAUUUGGGUCAUCUUAAACCGAAAGGUUUUUAAGCGCUUUAAAUUUUUCUUUACGAUCUCGCGAACGUUUCAAAGAUUUCUUUGUAGGUUC